UUGACCUCGAAUCAGGUAGGAAUACCCGCUGAACUUAAGCAUAUCAAUAAGCGGAGGAAAAGAAACCAACAGGGAUUGCCUCAGUAACGGCGAGUGAAGCGGCAACAGCUCAAAUUUGAAAUCUGGCCCUAGGCCCGAGUUGUAAUUUGCAGAGGAUGCUUCGGGCGCGGUGCCUUCCAAGUCCCCUGGAACGGGGCGCCGGAGAGGGUGAGAGCCCCGUACGGUUGGCGGCCAAGCCUGUGUGAAGCUCCUUCGACGAGUCGAGUAGUUUGGGAAUGCUGCUCUAAGCGGGAGGUAGACCCCUUCUAAAGCUAAAUAUAGGCCAGAGACCGAUAGCGCACAAGUAGAGUGAUCGAAAGAUGAAAAGCACUUUGAAAAGAGGGUUAAACAGCACGUGAAAUUGUUGAAAGGGAAGCGCUUGUGACCAGACGUGCGCCGGGGUGUUCAGCGGGCGUUCUCGCCCGUGCACUCGCCUCGGCGCAGGCCAGCGUCGGUUUGGAUGGGGGGAUAAAGGCGCCUGGAAUGUGGCUCCCUCGGGAGUGUUAUAGCCAGGCGUGCCAUGCUCCCGUCCGGACCGAGGUACGCGUUCUGCAAGGACGCUGGCGUAAUGGUCCCCAGCGACCCGUCUUGAAACACGGACCAAGGAGUCGAGGUUUUGCGCGAGUGUUUGGGUGUUAAACCCGCACGCGUAAUGAAAGUGAACGUAGGUGGGAGCUUCGGCGCACCACCGACCGAUCCUGAUGUUUUCGGAUGGAUUUGAGUAAGAGCGUAGGGCCUCGGACCCGAAAGAUGGUGAACUAUGCUUGGAUAGGGUGAAGCCAGAGGAAACUCUGGUGGAGGCUCGCAGCGGUUCUGACGUGCAAAUCGAUCGUCAAAUCUGAGCAUGGGGGCGAAAGACUAAUCGAACCAUCUAGUAGCUGGUUACCGCCGAAGUUUCCCUCAGGAUAGCAGUGUUGUUCUUCAGUUUUAUGAGGUAAAGCGAAUGAUUAGGGACUCGGGGGCGCUAUUUAGCCUUCAUCCAUUCUCAAACUUUAAAUAUGUAAGAAGCCCUUGUUACUUAAUUGAACGUGGGCAUUCGAAUGUAUCAACACUAGUGGGCCAUUUUUGGUAAGCAGAACUGGCGAUGUGGGAUGAACCAUACGGGGGGUUAAGGUGCCAGAGUAGACGCUCAUCAGACACCACAAAAGGCGUUAGCACAUCUUGACAGCAGGACGGUGGCCAUGGAAGUCGGAAUCCGCUAAGGACUGUGUAACAACUCACCUGCCGAAUGUGCUAGCCCUGAAAAUGGAUGGCGCUCAAGCGUCUCACCCAUACCCCCCCCUCAGGGUAGAAACGAUGCCCUGAGGAGUAGGCGGCCGCAGUGCUGUGUGAC
Molecule: ribosomal RNA, 1372 nt
Filed under: Chloridium mirabile
Lineage: Eukaryota; Fungi; Ascomycota; Sordariomycetes; Chaetosphaeriales; Chaetosphaeriaceae
Description: partial large subunit ribosomal RNA
Rfam family: Eukaryotic large subunit ribosomal RNA
Source: RNAcentral